AUUGAACGCUGGCGGCAUGCUUUACACAUGCAAGUCGAGCGGCAGCGCGGGACUCGGGCAACUGAGCCCUGGCGGCGAGCGGCGAACGGGUGAGUAACACAUCGGAACGUAUCCCGUAGA
RNAcentral lists this ribosomal RNA (120 nucleotides) under uncultured bacterium. RNAcentral's name for it is "partial 16S ribosomal RNA". The record is from RNAcentral.